UGACGUCACAGGCCGCGGAGGGGGGCGCCGCCGGGGGAAGUGGGUGCGGCCGAGUUCGCGCUGGGGCGGGGCCCGAAGCUGGGCGGUGUCCACUGGGGGCUCUGGGCUCCUCCAGGGCCUCGUCGGGGACCCGAGGAAAACGACCUUCUUUUCUCUUGCAGCGGCGGGGAGGGCGGACUGGAGGACCGCGGCUUGGUGCCGGAUCCGAAAGGAAGCCAAGGCUAAGGGCAAAAUAGAUUGGACAUUUUCACUUUCUCAAGCCAGGGUCACCGGUCGCCCAACCAGCAGCCACUGAGGGUGGUAUGGGGCGCCCCUUCCUCUGGCAGCGGAUUUCAGCCCCCGGGGCAUCUCCCACCCCGGCCAUCCCCAGCACCUUUGCAAGGACAGCAGCACAGCCAUAGCAGAGGUCUUGGGCACCCUAGGAAUAACGUGCUGGUAUAAAUGUUGGAUUGAGAAAGGAAGAGAAAACAUCUGGGGUCAAUUUGGGGCCCUCUGGUUUGACACGGGAGGAAACGCCAAGCAGCAGCGGUGGGGGAAGGUGCUUCCUCUCUCUCUUCUCUGUCUCUCGCUGUUUCUCUCUUUCCGCCACUCCCCCUCUUUCUCUCCCCCUCUCCCCUCCCUCUGUGUGGCCAGGUGAUCUGACUCAGAAGUGCACGUUGGUCGUGCUUUCGGGGAGCUGGCAAGCAAGAGACUGAACCUUUGCACACGUCAAGCAAGGUCUGGCCUGCUUUGAAGCCAGUGAUUUUAGAGCUACUUGGCCUCCGCGUCACGGGCAGACAUCAGGGCAGUCAGUGGUGGGGUGGCAGGGCAUCCAUCCUGAGACCUCCCAUGCCCCAUCUUUUUGGCCCCAGUGCUUCUGCGUGAGUGCAGAGAGAGAGAGGAACACAGUUCAUUGGUUAUGCUUACUUUUCACUAUUUGCAUUUUUAAAUUUUUGUCUUCUUUAAUCUUCCUGGUCUUGCUUUUACUCUAUGACAUGCCCUUCAUCCAAAGGAUUCUAUCUGUAGAUGAAUCAGGGCAUCUCAGAUCCCUUUAUUGGCAACCAGCCUUCCUGCACAGGAUGGAAGGGAGGGCAAUGAAAUUCCCUUGUGUCAAGGGAGGCUCUGGGGAAAAGUUCUGUAAUGCCUCUGGAUGGCCAUUGUAAACCUCUGUGUAGACACAUGUGGAAUCCAUUGAUCGGUACAUUCACUGCAGGUGUCUGCACUUUACUGUGUGUAUGUUGUACUUCAAAGGGGGUAUAUUCCCAGAGUCCACGCAAAGGCUUACUAAACACCUACCGAGUACACAAAGCAUCGCUAAGCUCUGUGGAUACAGCUUCCACCCACAGGAAGCUUACAGUCUGAUGAGGGGCCAAUUAAGAGCAUCUGGCAUUUCCAAUUUCCCUUCUUAGGACAACCCGAUGGAAAGUGGCCUGGGUGGCAAGGAAAAAACAACAUGUAAACAACUCAGGUUUCAUCCAUAUAAGACAGACGAUCUUGGCCGGGAGCGGUGGCUCACACCUGUAAUCCUAGCACUUUGGAGACCGAGGCAGGCAGAUCACAAGGUCAGGAGUUCAAGACCAGCCUGGUCAAUGUGGAGAAACCCUGUCUUUACUAAAAAUACAAAAAUUAGCCAGGCAUGGUGGUAGGUACCUGUAGUCCCAGCUACUCAAGAGGCUGAGGCAGGAGAAUCGCUUGAACCCAGAGGGAGAGGUUGCAGUUAUCACGCCAUUGCACUCCAGCCUGGGCAACAGAGCAAGACUCAAACUCAAAAAAAAAAUUUUUUUUCCAGACGGAUGUGUGCCAAAGCCAGUGUGGAGAACAUGGGGCAGGCGAGAGGAAGAACCAGGCGUCCCCAUUGCCCAGAGCAGUGUUGAUGAGCUACCAGAAACAGGUCUGCAAGAUUCAUCACCUUCCUCCUGCUUCCCCUGAAUUCUAAUUAUUGUUGUCAGGAACUGCUGAAGUAGUAAAAACUGCUGGCAACCAAGACACAUAAAAGCUAAGCUCCAGUUGCUGUGUGUGAUUUCCAACACAUAUUUAUUAUCUCUGUUUAAUAAUAAACCUCUUUACACACAGCCAUGUGUUGUAAAGAAGAUUCUCCCUCUCUCUUUGUCUCCCUCUCAAAAUUACUAGGGAGGAAAUGCUACGCAAACUGAUUUGCAUAAAAGGCUGGGCUAAUCUGUCCUUUUCACCUCCGACCUGUAACACUUACUGACGACUUGUGUGACAAAAGCGGACACUGGCAUAGACAUGCAAAUGGUGCUGCUGGGUGGGUUUUUGUUGCUGUUGCCUGUUCGUUGUUUGUCUAAUUAUCUUUGUGAUGCUUGAGUACUUUAUUCAGGGCUAAGAUGACGGAAGCAUAAUGCUAACAGUGGUUGAAAUCAAUCUUGUCCCCUAGUUUUAAGAACAUGCCAUAUUCUUGAACUCCUGCAGGUAAGCUUACUGUGUAAGAUUCUCUCCUGAAUUUUAUAUUGCUAUAUAUUAGGAACAGAAUGAUUAACAGCAAUGAGCUAGAUGAUUUGACAAUCUGUAUCUGAGAAAAACAAGGAAACUAGAAAUUCAUCUGAGAAUUAAAAAAAAAAAAAAAACAAGGCCGGGAGCGGUGGCUCAAGCCUGUAAUCCCAGCACUUUGGGAGGCCGAGGUGGGUGGAUCACGAGGUCAAGAGAUCGAGACCAUCCUGGUCAACAUGGUGAAACCCCGUCUCUACUAAAAAUACAAAAAAUUAGCUGGGCAUGGUGGCGCGUGCCUGUAAUCCCAGCUACUCAGGAGGCUGAGGCAGGAGAAUUGCCUGAACCCAGGAGGCAGAGGUUGCGGUGAGCCGAGAUCGCCCCAUUGCACUCCAGCCUGGGUAACAAGAGUGAAACUCUGUCUCAAAAAAAAAAACCAGAACAGUCAUAGCCACUGAAUCUUAGUUUAGAAAAUGAGACAGCUCCAGUAAAGAAAGUCCAGAUACACAUAAGAGCUCUAACAGAGGCCAACUCACUCAUCUCUCAUCUUAGAGUAUGUGGAAAGCUUGUAAUAGGAGAGAAAAACAAUGAAUAAUUGAUUCCCACUGGAGGAAGUCUCCUCAGGCAACAUCAAGCUAAGACUUAGAAUGAUGGGGAAAUGCCCCAGUCAUAAUAUUUUGGGGAAAUUUCUUUUCCCCAAAAUAUUAUAUAUUAGAAUCCUACAGUAGGUCCAUGGUUGGUUAAACCAAAGGAGGCUCUUUGAUAUGGUUUGGCUGUGUCUCUACCCAGGUCUUACCCUGAAUUGUAAUCAUCCCAGGUGUCAAGGGUGGGACCAGGUGGAGAUAAUUGAAUCAUGGGCAUGGGGGUUUCUCCCAUACUGUUCUCGUGAUAGCAAGUUCUCACGAGAUCUGAUGGUUUUAUAAGGGGCUUCUCCCCUCAGCACUCAUCCUCGCUCCUGCCACUCUGCAAAGGUGUGUUUUCCACCAUGAUUGUAAGUUUCCUGGGACUUCCCUAGCCAUGCAGAACUGUGAGUCAGUUAAACCUCUUUUCUUUAUAAAUUACCUAUUCUCAAGUAUUUCUUCAUAGCAGCAUGUCAAUGAACUAAUACACUUGUGUACGCAUUGUAUUGUUUACUAGACUGCAGAUAGAAAUUUUUGUGUGUUGAUAAUUUUAUUAAAGCAAUUCUACCCUCCUC
This is a long non-coding RNA of Callithrix jacchus (white-tufted-ear marmoset), 3619 nucleotides long. RefSeq lists it as uncharacterized. The record is from RefSeq and is a predicted model, not a curated record. Lineage: Eukaryota; Metazoa; Chordata; Mammalia; Primates; Cebidae.